Long non-coding RNA from Salmo salar (Atlantic salmon), 367 nucleotides. RefSeq lists it as uncharacterized. Lineage: Eukaryota; Metazoa; Chordata; Actinopteri; Salmoniformes; Salmonidae. The record is from RefSeq and is a predicted model, not a curated record.
AGGUGUUUACUGCCAUCUAGUGGAAGAUACCAAUAAAACACUUUAUUUUCAGGGUGGGGAGACGGCUGAUUGAAACAGAAAGUAAAGUUGUUCUUUUGUUCAGGAUCCAUUUUGAGACGACAGAGCAGAAAACACUAUAUGGAGAUUAUUGAAAAAUAAAGGGUCCUGUCUCUAAAAUGAGUCUCUUUGGGGAGAGAGAGGAGGGGGACCCUGCCUCUAAAAUGAGUCUUUCUGGGGAACAUGACACCAAAUCUAAGAGUCCAAUCAAGCAGGAGAGACCAGCCUCCCCUGUUCCCAGCUGUGUGUCCAUGAAGAGUGACUGGUCUAUGGGUCUACCUAUAAACUUUAGAGAGGGAGACGUUUCUAC